CAAGCCCUGGAAACGGGGUCUAAUACCGGAUAUGACACUGGAUCGCAUGGUCUGGUGUGGAAAGCUCCGGCGGUGCAGGAUGAGCCCGCGGCCUAUCAGCUAGUUGGUGGGGUAGUGGCCUACCAAGGCGACGACGGGUAGCCGGCCUGAGAGGGCGACCGGCCACACUGGGACUGAGACACGGCCCAGACUCCUACGGGAGGCAGCAGUGGGGAAUAUUGCACAAUGGGCGAAAGCCUGAUGCAGCGACGCCGCGUGAGGGAUGACGGCCUUCGGGUUGUAAACCUCUUUCAGCAGGGAAGAAGCGAGAGUGACGGUACCUGCAGAAGAAGCACCGGCUAACUACGUGCCAGCAGCCGCGGUAAUACGUAGGGUGCGAGCGUUGUCCGGAAUUAUUGGGCGUAAAGAGCUCGUAGGCGGCUUGUCACGUCGGUUGUGAAAGCCCGGGGCUUAACCCCGGGUCUGCAGUCGAUACGGGCAGGCUAGAGUUCGGUAGGGGAGAUCGGAAUUCCUGGUGC
This 518-nucleotide ribosomal RNA is filed under the name uncultured Streptomyces sp. RNAcentral describes it as "bacterial SSU rRNA". It matches the Rfam family "Bacterial small subunit ribosomal RNA", at positions 144 to 676 of the family's 1533-position model. Lineage: Bacteria; Bacillati; Actinomycetota; Actinomycetes; Kitasatosporales; Streptomycetaceae. The record is from RNAcentral.